Molecule: ribosomal RNA, 460 nt
Filed under: uncultured bacterium
Lineage: Bacteria
Description: partial 16S ribosomal RNA
Rfam family: Bacterial small subunit ribosomal RNA
Source: RNAcentral
CCUACGGGUGGCAGCAGUGAGGAAUAUUGGUCAAUGGGCGCGAGCCUGAACCAGCCAAGUAGCGUGAAGGAUGACUGCCCUACGGGUUGUAAACUUCUUUUAUCAGGGAAUAAAGAGAGGCACGUGUGCCUUUUUGUAUGUACUUUAUGAAUAAGCAUCGGCUAACUCCGUGCCAGCAGCCGCGGUAAUACGGAGGAUCCGAGCGUUAUCCGGAUUUAUUGGGUUUAAAGGGAGCGUAGAUGGGUUGUUAAGUCAGUUGUGAAAGUUUGCGGGGCAACCGUAAAAUUGCAAUUGAUACUGGCAGUCUUGAGUAGAGGUGAGGUAUGCGGAAUGCGUGGUGUAGCGGUGAAAUGCUUAGAUAUCACGAAGAACUCCGAUUGCGAAGGCAGCAUACUAAACUGCCACUGACAUUGAUGCUCGAAAGUGUGGGGAUCAAACAGGAUUAGAUACCCCUGUAGUC